Molecule: ribosomal RNA, 301 nt
Filed under: uncultured bacterium
Lineage: Bacteria
Description: partial 16S ribosomal RNA
Rfam family: Bacterial small subunit ribosomal RNA
Source: RNAcentral
CAGCAGCCGCGGGAAUACGGAGGGGGCUAGCGUUGUUCGGAAUUACUGGGCGUAAAGCGCACGUAGGCGGCUUGGUAAGUUAGAGGUGAAAGCCCGGAGCUCAACUCCGGAAUUGCCUUUAAGACUGCCGAGCUAGUAGGUGAGAGAGGUAAGUGGAAUUCCGAGUGUAGAGGUGAAAUUCGUAGAUAUUCGGAAGAACACCAGUGGCGAAGGCGGCUUACUGGCUCAUUCUAGACGCUGAGGUGCGAAAGCGUGGGGAGCAAACAGGAUUAGAGACCCCUGUAGUCCCUGUCUCUUAUAC